CCAGAACAGAGGACAUAUUUAUGAUCAGCACAAUUUUUAGAGUCACCUGGGAACUGUAAUUGAAAUUUAAUUUUUCGCGAUUCGUAAGGGCGUGUUUGGCUAUUCCUAUUGUUGAAAGCUUAGGUGUUGGUUAUAUAUAUAUAUGGUUAUGCUAUGUGAGUGGUGAACUUAUCAUUUGGAAGUCAAAUAAAAUAUUUGGGGGAGAGAGAAGAGAACCGUGAGAGAGAGGGAAGGAAGAAGAGGAAAGCUCCUCUAAUCAACACUCAUGGGGUUUUGAAGAUGCUUGAAGGGGGUGAAGAAAGAAAAAGAAGAUCAUCCAUGGGAAGCUUGGGAGGAAUUGGAGAAAGCUAGGAGAAAGACAAGGAUGGAACUAGGGUCGAGACGAGAACAUCGUCCUAUUACCACCGGGAACUGAUCACUGCACUCCACCUGGAGGUCAGUUUUAACCCAUGGCAUCCGUGCCUCUUUUGUCAACCUCAGAGUAUCCAGGCACUUAAGUGAAGGCAGCCUUUUUGCUAAACUUUUGAUUUUACACUCUGAUUGUUUGCUUAAGGUUGAUGUAUAUAUAAUUCCUUUGCCUGUCCAUGUUGUUUUACGCCCAAUUCUAAGGGCUGGGUCUGUAUAUAUAUAUAGCUGUACAUAGCUAACUCUCUGGUGCACGUCACUGUAUGUUUAUUUGCCUUAUGUUCUGUCUGUGAUCCUGGCAUGAUAGUGGUCGCUCAAUGGAUGCAGUUCUUUUAUUUAUGUUAA
Molecule: non-coding RNA, 750 nt
Organism: Camellia sinensis
Lineage: Eukaryota; Viridiplantae; Streptophyta; Magnoliopsida; Ericales; Theaceae
Source: RefSeq, a predicted model, not a curated record